This is a non-coding RNA of Phrynosoma platyrhinos (Desert horned lizard), 72 nucleotides long. NCBI's taxonomy places the organism in Eukaryota, Metazoa, Chordata, Lepidosauria, Squamata, Phrynosomatidae. The record is from the annotation of a GenBank genome assembly.
GCCAGUGUGGUGUAGUGGUUUGAAUGUUGGACUGUGACUCUGCAAACCAGGGUUCGAUUCCCAGCUCGGUCA